GACGAACGCUGGCGGCGUGCUUAACACAUGCAAGUCGAACGUGAUUUUUGUGGAAAUUCUUUCGGGAAUGGAAGUGAAAUGAAAGUGGCGAACGGGUGAGUAACACGUGAGCAACCUACCUUACACAGGGGGAUAGCCGUUGGAAACGACGAUUAAUACCGCAUGAGACCACAGAAUCGCAUGAUAUAGGGGUCAAAGAUUUAUCGGUGUAAGAAGGGCUCGCGUCUGAUUAGCUAGUUGGAAGGGUAAAGGCCUACCAAGGCGACGAUCAGUACCCGGU
This 280-nucleotide ribosomal RNA is filed under the name uncultured Parvimonas sp. Its description in RNAcentral is "partial 16S ribosomal RNA". It matches the Rfam family "Bacterial small subunit ribosomal RNA", at positions 28 to 291 of the family's 1533-position model. Lineage: Bacteria; Bacillati; Bacillota; Tissierellia; Tissierellales; Peptoniphilaceae. The record is from RNAcentral.